This 427-nucleotide ribosomal RNA is filed under the name uncultured Desulfovibrio sp. RNAcentral's name for it is "bacterial SSU rRNA". It matches the Rfam family "Bacterial small subunit ribosomal RNA", at positions 355 to 774 of the family's 1533-position model. Lineage: Bacteria; Pseudomonadati; Thermodesulfobacteriota; Desulfovibrionia; Desulfovibrionales; Desulfovibrionaceae. The record is from RNAcentral.
UGGGGAAUAUUGCGCAAUGGGCGAAAGCCUGACGCAGCGACGCCGCGUGAGGGAUGAAGGUCUUCGGAUCGUAAACCUCUGUCAGAAGGGAAGAACGUAUUGUGUGCUAAUCAGCGCAGUAGUGACGGUACCUUCAAAGGAAGCACCGGCUAACUCCGUGCCAGCAGCCGCGGUAAUACGGAGGGUGCAAGCGUUAAUCGGAAUCACUGGGCGUAAAGCGCACGUAGGCUGUCGUGUAAGUCAGGGGUGAAAGCCCACGGCUCAACCGUGGAAUUGCCCUUGAUACUGCAUGACUGGAAUCCGGGAGAGGGUGGCGGAAUUCCAGGUGUAGGAGUGAAAUCCGUAGAUAUCUGGAGGAACAUCAGUGGCGAAGGCGGCCACCUGGACCGGUAUUGACGCUGAGGUGCGAAAGCGUGGGGAGCAAACA